GAUGAACGCUAGCGACAGGCUUAACACAUGCAAGUCGAGCGGAAACGACAUUGUAGCUUGCUUCGAUGGUCGUCGACCGGCGCACGGGUGAGUAACGCGUAUCCAACCUGCCUCUGACCAAGGGAUAACCCGUCGAAGGUCUGCCGAAUAACUUAUUCAGGCGGCGGAAGUCACCUGAGGACGACGAAAGAUUUCAUCGGGGAGUGGUGGGGCUGCGUCUGAUUAGCUUGUUGGCGGGGUAACGGCCCACCCAGGCAACGAUCAGCAGGGGGUCUGAGAGGACGGUCCCCCACAUGGGAACAGCGCCACCGACCACACUGCUACGCGACGCAGCAGUGUGGUAUACUGAUCACGGGGCGAGAGCCUGAAACCGCCAAGUCGCGUGCAGGAUGACCGCCCUCUGGGUUGUAUGCUGCUUUUAUGCGGGGAAAGCGUGAGGGACUGGUCCUUCAUUGCCGGUACCGGAUGAAUAAGCACCGGCUAACUCCGUG
Molecule: ribosomal RNA, 491 nt
Filed under: uncultured bacterium
Lineage: Bacteria
Description: partial 16S ribosomal RNA
Rfam family: Bacterial small subunit ribosomal RNA
Source: RNAcentral